CUGCCAUCUUUUGCCCAGCUGUCCUACCUUCUCCUCCAAUCCCAGUACUGUCACUACUUUUCCAAAUGCCCAGCCUUGACUUGGUAACCCUUCCCUGAUAAUCCCACAAUAUUUUGGACUUUUGUCUUGAUCAGAUUCCUGCAAACUGAGAUUGAGAUGGAAAUCCACAUGCAGGUAGUUUAUUGAUGAGUCUGCUCAGGAUCAACACCCAGAAGACAGAAGAAGCAGAUUGGCAGAUUCACCUUACAAGUGGUGAAUUCAGAGUCAACAGGUUCCACCCCGCAACAGGCUGAGUUUCUAAUUUGCUUUUAAGUGUCUCAUUUCAAAGUGUGAGCCUUAGUUGAUGAUCACCAGAACUCCGAGGAAAUUCCCUAACUUGAAAAAUACUGUUGACCCUUUAGCAACAUGGAGUUAAGGGUACCAACCCCCAUGCAGUUGAAAAUCCGCAUAUAACUCUUGACUCUCCAAAAACUUGACUACUAAUAGCCUACUCUUGCCUGGAAGACUUAUCAAUAACAUAAACAAUCACUAAACACUUUUUUAUGUCAUAUGGAUUAUAUAUUCUAUUCCUACAAUAAAGUAAGCUAGAGAAAAGAAAAUGUUAUGAAGAAAAUCAUAAGGAAGAAGAAAUGUGUGUAUCAUUUGUUGAGUGGAAGUGGAUCAUCACAAAGGUCCUUACCCUAGUCAUCUUCACGCUGAAUACGCCAAGGAGAAGCAAGAAAAAGGGUUGAUCUUGCUGGCUCAGGGGUAGCAGAAGCAGAAGAUAAUCCACAUAUUAGCAGACUCAGACAGUUCAGACUCACGUUGUUCAAGGACCAACUGUAAAAGGCCAAAAUAUUAGGAGGGGGAAAAAAAGCAACUUAUAGAAAACUCUGCAGAGAAUAAAAACUUCGAAAGGAAACUAUUACCAACAUCCUCAGACAAAAGGAGAAGUUACUCUAAUUUCUUAAAUAAAAACAAUAUUCUAGCAAAAGGAAAACAAUUAUAAAACAAGAGAGUAAUUACAAAUUCAA
This 1013-nucleotide long non-coding RNA is filed under the name Callithrix jacchus (white-tufted-ear marmoset). RNAcentral describes it as "lncRNA (ENSCJAG00000074085.1)". Lineage: Eukaryota; Metazoa; Chordata; Mammalia; Primates; Cebidae. The record is from RNAcentral.